GUGCCCUACGGGGGCAGCAGUGGGGGAUAUUGCACAAUGGGGGAAACCCUGAUGCAGCGACGCCGCGUGGGUGAAGAAGCGCCUCGGCGCGUAAAGCCCUGUCAGCAGGGAAGAAAAUGACGGUACCUGAAGAAGAAGCCCCGGCUAACUACGUGCCAGCAGCCGCGGUAAUACGUAGGGGGCAAGCGUUAUCCGGAUUUACUGGGUGUAAAGGGGGCGCAGACGGCGAUGCAAGCCAGGAGUGAAAGCCCGGGGCCCCACCCCGGGACUGCUCUUGGAACUGCGUGGCUAGAGUGCAGGAGGGG
RNAcentral lists this ribosomal RNA (305 nucleotides) under uncultured bacterium. Its description in RNAcentral is "bacterial SSU rRNA". It matches the Rfam family "Bacterial small subunit ribosomal RNA", at positions 334 to 657 of the family's 1533-position model. The record is from RNAcentral.